This 253-nucleotide ribosomal RNA is filed under the name uncultured bacterium. Its description in RNAcentral is "partial 16S ribosomal RNA". It matches the Rfam family "Bacterial small subunit ribosomal RNA", at positions 524 to 776 of the family's 1533-position model. The record is from RNAcentral.
UACGGAGGGUGCAAGCGUUAUCCGGAUUCACUGGGUUUAAAGGGUGCGUAGGUGGGUCUGUAAGUCCGUGGUGAAAUCUCUAGGCUUAACCUGGAAACUGCCAUGGAUACUAUAGGUCUUGAAUACUGUGGAGGUCAGCGGAAUAUGUCAUGUAGCGGUGAAAUGCUUAGAUAUGACAUAGAACACCAAUUGCGAAGGCAGCUGGCUACACAAAUAUUGACACUGAGGCACGAAAGCGUGGGUAGCGAACAGG